RNAcentral lists this long non-coding RNA (246 nucleotides) under Lathyrus oleraceus (garden pea). RNAcentral's name for it is "Pisum sativum (pea) long non-coding RNA (PSAT_LNC006514)". The record is from RNAcentral. Lineage: Eukaryota; Viridiplantae; Streptophyta; Magnoliopsida; Fabales; Fabaceae.
UUAGACAUGCCAUUGGACCACAUGUCCACCAGCUUAGGCCAAGCGCGCGCUGAUUCAAACUAUAACAUGGAUCGAUUCUUAGUUACAGCAUUUUCACAUGAGCCUUGUGUAUUUUUUUUCUAUUAUGUCAUGCCUUGCUUCACCAUGCCAUUUCAUUUUUUUAAUUUUUUCAUGCCAUUAGAAAAUUCAUAACUUCAUAACCAUAAGUCCAAUUGAGAUGAAAUUUUUUGUGCCAUGAUCCUUGCC